RNAcentral lists this ribosomal RNA (253 nucleotides) under uncultured bacterium. RNAcentral's name for it is "partial 16S ribosomal RNA". It matches the Rfam family "Bacterial small subunit ribosomal RNA", at positions 524 to 776 of the family's 1533-position model. The record is from RNAcentral.
UACGUAGGGUGCGAGCGUUGUCCGGAAUUACUGGGCGUAAAGAGCUCGUAGGCGGUUUGUCGCGUCUGCCGUGAAAGUCCGGGGCUCAACUCCGGAUCUGCGGUGGGUACGGGCAGACUAGAGUGCAGUAGGGGAGACUGGAAUUCCUGGUGUAGCAGUGAAAUGCGUAGAUAUCAGGAGGAACACCGAUGGCGAAGGCAGGUCUCUGGGCUGACACUGACGCUCAUGCACGAAAGCGUGGGGAGCAAACAGG